This is a long non-coding RNA of Mus musculus (house mouse), 4956 nucleotides long. RefSeq annotates it as predicted gene, 41036. The record is from RefSeq and is a predicted model, not a curated record. The transcript has 3 exons. Lineage: Eukaryota; Metazoa; Chordata; Mammalia; Rodentia; Muridae.
GUUAGAGCUUUCCGGCUCUGCCUUUUCAAACCAAAUAUCCUGGCUGAGACUCUUCACAGGCUCGGCUCAAGUCUGACACUAGACACGACUGCUAAACCAUUGCAUCCUAAAUACCGACUAAAGGAGGUUGAGCUCACUCUUCUCAGAGUCUUCAAACACGUGACCUAUGAGACAGCAGGUAGACGCAGUGGGGUUCCCUGGAAGAUGACAGUCCACCACUCAUGACAUCUUCCUGCUGCCUGCUUUCUUUCCCUGCAUCUGUGGGGUUAAGGAGGGUGGAGGAGACAGCCAGGCUUUGUAACUCUGGCCCAGGCUUCCUCUUCUGAAGAAGGCAAGUGACCACUUGUGCAGGGCUUUGAAGCUAACGAACGGGAGCCCUCCGAGCGAUGUGACCAGAGGCACACAGCUUGGCAGGUGACCUGCUAUGACUGAUGUUCAAAGUACCUGUCAGUGAAUGGGAGGUGGCCUGCACAACGGAGCAAGCCAAAAAUAACGCAAGAGCCAGCUCACAGCUUCCUGUCACUACAAGAACAAGGCAUUCCUGAAGAGCUUGAAUCUCCUCCCGGACUCUGCUUACCUGAUGCCAUCUCACCCUGCACUGAUGAUGUCAUGAGAAGCAGUGGUUUUUCUCCCCGCCCUGUCCCCACAGCUAUUCAGGAAACUUGUGCAGAGUUUUAUCUGAGGUAGAGAGAGAGCCUCGCUCUGUGCUGCCUUAACUUGACCUUUGCCUUCACUUUGUCUGUUAGCGAUUUACUCCAGAGAUCUCCCAUUUUGCUUGGGAUUGUCUCUCCUUUAAAACAGUUUUUUUUUUUUUAAGAUUUUACUUAAUGUCUACGUGUAGCUUACCUGAAUCUAUAUCUGUGCCCAUGUGUGUGUGUUCAGUGUCCUUGGAGGUCAGGAGAGGGCAUCAGAUUCCUUGGAACUGGAGUUACAGAGAGUUGUGAGCUGCCGUGUGGUACUAGGAAUUAAACCCAGGUCCUUUGGAAGAGCAGUUGGUGCUCUAAACCUCUGAAACCUUGCUUCGGGCCCCUUUUCUUGUGUUGGAAUGGACAUCUUUCUCUUCGUGGGGAUGUGUCCCAUUUCCAGACAGAUGAGUAAGUAUGAACACUGCAAGGACACCUGAGCUUUUCCCUGGAAGCACACACAGUUUCACUCCCACCAUGUCGUGGUUUGAAUACCAUGUCCCAAUACGGUUCACACUUUGCGCUAUUUUGGAAGCUAGGGGAACCUUCUGGAAAGUGGGGCUUUGAUGAAGGAAAUGGGUUGCGUGGGUCUUGGAAAUUAUGGCCCAGCUCCACUUCCUGCUUCCUGCUCUCUGGAGAUGCAGCAUGGUGAGGAGUCAUGACUGGGGGCUGCUCCCACCUCAUGCCUUCUCCACCAUGAUAAACUGUGCUCUCAAACCAUGAGCCAAAGUGAACUCUCCCUCCCUUGAGUUAUUUCUAGUAAUUUAAGUCCUUUGUGCAUGAACAAGUGGCUGAGAGGAGCUGAAAAGUUCACAGUCAUGGUGUGAGAAUAGAAAACCAAGAAGAUUUUCCUUUAAGACUAUCUGUAGAAACUUCAGUUUCUAGUAAUUGAAGACUAGGAAAUCUGGACAAGUCUCGCAUUAAAGGUGCCCAAAGAAAUGGAUGGAAAGACCUUUGAAUUGCUUAAAGUAGUGAAAAAUUAAAAAAAAAAAAAAGAAAGAAAAAAAGAGAAAAAUUAACAAGCUAGUGAGGGUUUACAAAAUGAAAAGUUAGAUGUGGAAAAGCCAGAAAACAAAAAACAAGACUAACAUUCAAGUUGGAUUUCAUCCUAAGGGCAUCUGCCAAUCCCUACAAAACUGGUUAGUAACUCAACUGUACUUUUGUGGGAUGUGGGUGCCAGUGAGGAAAAGCCAAGACCUGCUAUCCACCAAAGGUGAGGACUCUAAUCACCCACCCUACUUCAAGCUGUCAUUCCAGAAUGGCAGCUUCUUCAGACAACAUGAAUUGUAAGUAGACAAAUUCUUGAAAAGAAUUUCUGUCCUGAUUUAUGUUACAGAGGUGGUCCAGAGAGCCACUAAUUUUGGCUUUGGUUUGAUCUGUAUUUGAAAUGUAAGAAUUCAUCAAAAGAAAAAGAAAAUUCUCUUUGGAAAAAGAUGCUAUUGAUUCUCAAAUACCUUAAAGUAUGAGUGCCAAGAAUAACCACUCAUACACAGAUACAAGCACACAGAGAAAAAUCAAACACAACAGAAAUAACAGGCAACACAAGCAGACCCAAGAGCAUUGGAGACGGCAGUUGCUGGUAUUUUUAGUCACCAACCAUAAGGUUAUAUAAGAAAUGAUCAAAGACAUAUAUCCAUAGAUCAGGAACACUAGCAUGUCGAUACACAGCACUCCCAGAUAUAACACAGUGGAGCCACAGGAACUGAUGGUUUGUGUAUACACAGGGAGAACGUGUUACCUUCAAAGGUGUAAAAUAGCUGACUUUUCAAAGUCAAUAAUGGAAGUUAAAAGGCAAUAAAACGGGCAGUGGUGGCUUGUGCCUUUAAUCCCAGCACUUGGGAGGCAAAGGCAGGUGGAUUUCUGAGUUCGGGGUCAGCCUGGUCUACAGAGUGAGUUCCAGGACAGCCAGGGCUACACAGGGAAACCCUAUCUCAAAUAAAUAAAUAAAUAAAUAAAUAAAUAAAUAAAUAAAUAAAUAAAUAAAUAAUAUGAUCAGCAGUGAAAGAAAACAUAUGGUCACUUAGAAUCCUAAAAUUCUAGUAUCAAAAAUUCUAUUAUCAUUUGCUUAAAUGAGUUUUGGAAGUCCCAGAACUCAUACUUAAGGGUGAAAUAAAAGCAUCUGGAUGUAAGACCCAAAGUCCAAAACCCAAGAUGCAAAAAGAAAUAAGGACAAACAACUUAUCUAGUAAAAAUGUUUUAAAAUUGCAUAGAAUUAUAAGUUGAUAAAUAGCAAGUUAGUUGAGAUGUAAGUAAAAAUUUGAUAUUACCAAACUACAUAGGACAAGAUUAAGAUCAGUAAUGCAAGGUUAAAAUAAAAUAUUUGGUAGAAACUAUAAUUUUAGACUAGCUACCAAAAAAUAGAUAAUUCUAAAAUAACAAAAUUUCUAAACAAAUAAAAGAGAAAAACAAUACUUUAAAAACUUAGCCAAUCCAGAGUCAAGGAGAGAGAGACAGAGAGAGACAGAGAUAGAAAAAGAGAGCGAGAGAGACAGACAGACACACACACAGAGAGAGAGAGAUGAUAAAUGAGGUAGGACAUUCCAGAAUCACCAAACAAUAUAAUAGACUAGACCUGCAAGUCACGAGUAAUUACAUUAAAUGUAAAUGGGCUAAGCCUACUCUUACUUAGUGAAUGCCCAGUGAGAGCUGUGGGUACUCAUGAGGCUACACACUGAGUUGACAGUAAGUAGUCUAAAUUCCAGCUCUUAGCUAAGCCUCAACAGAACUUGGGAUUCUGAGCAAUUCCCACACAGGAAAUGAGGUCAUCAGGUUGGAUAAUGAGUGCUCCUCAGCCUAUCCUUUCCAAUUUUGAAACUAUUCUUACGGCCUUUUUUAGAGUCUUAGUCUUCUGUGACUAAGAGCUGGUUAUGCUCCCAGAAGGAAAGGAACGCCCUCUGCUGAAAUAAAAUGGAAUUAUUUUAACUGCAGGUAUCUUAUGGGUCAAGAUAUCAGAGAAAACACAUGGAACUGGAAUUUGGGAGAGAGGACUGGGAGGAACACUGCAAAGACACCAUCCCUUCUGAGAGAGAUGAAGAAAGAAAUCUCUGCAUGGUUUUAUUUUCCCUGGACAUACACAAUAUCUGGAUGUGACCCUUAAAAUGUCACCAUCCGCUGACUUUGAAUUGUGCCGGAUGAGGGCAGAGUGGGAACACGACAAGAGUGUGUCAGGACCCACUGAGAUGCUAUGUCAGUAACCUUUAUUUUCAAACCUUGGACACAUCACCUCUUUACUCUUUAUGCUACUUUGAGUGGAGAUUAUGUUUUACGGACUGGAAACCUGCUACCCGAUGCUACCUGUUUCCAUGGGACCUAGUAGUGAGAGGGUCACCUAGUCCAGUGAUGACGGAUACAAAUAAACAUGGAUGGUCCAUAUGAGUCCAAGUAGUUUUAGUGACCACAUUAGAAGGAAAUUUCAAUUAUAUAUUUUAUUCAGUACAGUGUGUUAAAAUAUCACCAUUUAGACACAGAAUCAGCACAAAUAUUGAAGAGAGACUUUACAAUCAGUUUUACAUUAACACUUCAAAACCAUUACCUUUAGCACAUGUCCCUACUCAGGCUAGCCUGACGCUGUACGUGGCUAGUGGUUGUCUAUCUAGACGGUUCUCCACAGCAUCAGGUGGCACAGCCGCUGCCCUGGACACUGCUGCACCCAGGGUUAGCAGUGAAUGAACGACAUAAACAUCUGGAGUGCAGCUUGCCCAGUCAGCCUUGCAGGCCUGAGAGCCAGAGUGCACUCCCUCCUCAGCCACGUCAGAGCUUCUCCCAGAAACACCCAGGGUUGGGAGUGUGCCCAAGUCACUUGGCAGGCCUCUUCCCUAGCUGGGGACUAUUCUGCAGGGACUGAGUCUUGUCCUGACCACAAACUACAGUCAUGACUCCACUUGCAAUCAUAAGGAGAAGAGCCUCUUGCCUCUCCGUUGCUGCCAUGGUUGCUCUUCAUUGUCAAUGUAGGGGAUUUAAAAGUGGCCUAAGAGACAAACCUUUGAGAGCAUCUUUGAGCAUGUCACCGGGGCAUUUCCAGAGAGCAUUAACAGAGGGGGUAAGACUAACCUUGAGUGUGGGUAGCACUAUCCUAUGGGCUAGGGUCUUAGACGAAGUGAAAGGAUGAAGAACACAAACACAGCACCCACCCUCGUCUGUCUCUGCUUCCCAAGGCAGAGGCAGUGUGGCCGGCUGUCUGACACAUCCAAGACCAUGCCUUACCAUCGUGAUGAACCAGAUCUCUUCUUUUACACCUAUCUAUACACAUUAUUAAGUAGACUUUAAUUUAUUA